RNAcentral lists this ribosomal RNA (460 nucleotides) under uncultured bacterium. RNAcentral describes it as "partial 16S ribosomal RNA". It matches the Rfam family "Bacterial small subunit ribosomal RNA", at positions 338 to 795 of the family's 1533-position model. The record is from RNAcentral.
CCUACGGGAGGCAGCAGUGAGGAAUAUUGGUCAAUGGACGAGAGUCUGAACCAGCCAAGUAGCGUGAAGGAUGACUGCCCUAUGGGUUGUAAACUUCUUUUAUAUGGGAAUAAAAUGUUCCACGUGUAGGAUUUUGUAUGUACCAUAUGAAUAAGGAUCGGCUAACUCCGUGCCAGCAGCCGCGGUAAUACGGAGGAUCCGAGCGUUAUCCGGGUUUAUUGGGUUUAAAGGGGGCGUAGGUGGAUUGUUAAGUCAGUUGUGAAAGUUUGCGGCUCAAACGUAAAAUUGCAGUUAAAACUGGAAGUCUUGAGUACAGAAGAGGUGGGCGGAAUUCGUGGUGUAGCGGUGAAAUGCUUAGAUAUAACGAAGAACUCCGAUUGCGAAGGCAGUUCACUGGACUGCAACUGACACUGAGGCUCGAAAGUGUGGGUAUCAAACAGGAUUAGAUACCCUGGUAGUC